CGUAACGCGUAUGCAACCUGCCUGACACAGGGGGAUAAUCCGAAGAAAUUUGGUCUAAUACCCCAUAAUACCGAUAUAGGCAUCUAUGUUGGUUGAAAGCUUUGGUGGUGUCAGAUGGGCAUGCGUUGUAUUAGCUAGUUGGUGAGGUAACGGCUCACCAAGGCGACGAUACAUAGGGGGACUGAGAGGUUAACCCCCCACCACUGGUACUGAGACACGGACCAGACUCCUACGGGAGGCAGCAUG
Molecule: ribosomal RNA, 246 nt
Filed under: uncultured bacterium
Lineage: Bacteria
Description: partial 16S ribosomal RNA
Rfam family: Bacterial small subunit ribosomal RNA
Source: RNAcentral